ACGAACGCUGGCGGCGUGCUUAACACAUGCAAGUCGAACGGUGAAGCCCUUCGGGGUGGAUCAGUGGCGAACGGGUGAGUAACACGUGGGUAAUCUGCCCUGCAUUCUGGGACAAGCCUUGGAAACGAGGUCUAAUACCGGAUACGACGCAUCUCCGCAUGGGGUGUGCGUGGAAAGCUCCGGCGAUGCAGGAUGAACCCGCGGCCUAUCAGCUUGUUGGUGGGGUGAUGGCCUACCAAGGCGACGACGGGUAGCCG
This 257-nucleotide ribosomal RNA is filed under the name Streptacidiphilus sp. ISOM012_OTU228. Its description in RNAcentral is "partial 16S ribosomal RNA". It matches the Rfam family "Bacterial small subunit ribosomal RNA", at positions 29 to 289 of the family's 1533-position model. RNAcentral also lists the same sequence under 6 other names. Lineage: Bacteria; Bacillati; Actinomycetota; Actinomycetes; Kitasatosporales; Streptomycetaceae. The record is from RNAcentral.